This 207-nucleotide ribosomal RNA is filed under the name uncultured bacterium. RNAcentral's name for it is "partial 16S ribosomal RNA". It matches the Rfam family "Bacterial small subunit ribosomal RNA", at positions 568 to 774 of the family's 1533-position model. The record is from RNAcentral.
CCUGUAGGUUGUUUAUUAAGUCCGUUGUUAAAGCCUAGGGCUCAACCCUAGAAAAGCAAUGGAAACUAGUAGACUAGAGUAUGGCAGGGGUAGAGGGAAUUUCUAGUGUAGCGGUGAAAUGCGUAGAUAUUAGAAAGAACACCGGUGGCGAAAGCGCUCUACUGGACCAUUACUGACACUCAGAGGCGAAAGCUAGGGUAGCAAAAG